Anolis carolinensis (green anole) is the source of this 1403-nucleotide long non-coding RNA. RefSeq lists it as uncharacterized. The transcript is spliced from 4 exons. The record is from RefSeq and is a predicted model, not a curated record. Lineage: Eukaryota; Metazoa; Chordata; Lepidosauria; Squamata; Anolidae.
AAUUGGCUGUUGCUAGGCAAAGUGGCCCUCUGUGAUGUCACCAGGAAAGAAAGGUGGCAUGUGUAUGAGAAGAGAGGGAUGGAGGAAAAAGCCACAAAGAGAAUUAUGUUACCGUAGAGACAUUGUAAGAGUAAUAUUGUGGAAACUGAAUCUUCAAAUGUUGGGAAGCCACAUGCUGAGACCUGCUACCAUUUGACUGUGAGAGCAUUUGGGAUGACCAUUUACAAAACAAAGGUCGUGAAGCUUGCUGCAAACUAAAGAAUAAGCAGUACAAAUCUGCCUGCAUACAAGCACAACUAAAGGUUUCUAAUAUGUCUGAUGAGGCUUGCAAAAAGUUAUGAAUUACAGAUCCUUUAUUGCACUAGUGGGACCCUUAUCAAGUCGAGAGCCAUUUGAGAGCUCAAUGAGCUGGAAGAUAUUAAGAGGCCCAGCCACAUCCUAAGACACCAUGCAGCCCCUACUUUGCAAGAAGAGGCAGCCUCAUAGUUGCUGCAAGCAAGAACUGGAGUACUUUGGCCUCAUAAGCUGCAUGUGGGCUUCCUAUAGACAACAGGUUAGCCAUUGUGUUACUGGACUUUGGACUAAUUCAAUACUGUCUUAAGCGUGCAGAAAGGGGGCUUUUCGUGGUGGAGAAAUCACCCAAUCAAGGCUUUUGGAUUUUGUUUGUGAAAACUAAAAUGCAAUGAAAAAAUGUUCAUAGUCACAAGGCAAAUCCAUAGUAUUCACAUGAGUCCUGAUUUCACCCAUGAAUCACCCCAAAAGACUCCAACCAGGGAAAUAAUUCAGAAAAGUCCACUUCAUAAAUUCUCUUUUCUCAGAUUUUUUCUACUAAAUCAGUCAUUAUCACCAUAGCAGAACACGGAAGUUCUCAGCUCCCUGCUUUACCAGUCCCCACCUACCUAUCUAUCUAGCAGAUUUUCAGUUUUAAGGUGUGCUUAUGACAAUUAUUCAAGUGAGGCUGUUCCUGGCAACGUAUUUACUUGAGUGUUUUAUUAUACACCUGUUAAAAAGCAAAGUCUCUCUUGACUAUGGAGUACAUUUUAAUUUUUCGACAGAAUUUGAUAGAAAAAUAUAGUUCCCGGAUUAGUUAACAAAUGCUAAGAAGUGUAAUCUAAAAAAUUUUCUUAUGAACUACAGCACAGUUCAGCUUCUCAGCUCCUCUACCUGUAUCAAAUAACUUCUGUGAUCAGUUUCACUCUUUUUAUCCUGUCAGUUGCAUUUGUCUCUAGUAUUAAGCAUGUCUCAAUAGGAGUUGUGAUUUUUAGCCUUCUGCCUUAUAAAUUCAGCACAUAGUGUGACUGUUAAGCUUCCGCAGACCAAUAAGCAGUUCUGAUCUAUUCUACUAAUCAGCCCAGAAAUACAGGUUGCAUAUGCCUUAUUAAAAAUACUUGGGACCAGAAAUG